Non-coding RNA from Paralichthys olivaceus (Japanese flounder), 253 nucleotides. Lineage: Eukaryota; Metazoa; Chordata; Actinopteri; Pleuronectiformes; Paralichthyidae. The record is from RefSeq and is a predicted model, not a curated record.
CAGUGACGACUCAGUGAAUGACCUGAUACUGAAUCUGCACAAGGAAGCUCUGAGCUGCAAGACUGAUACGGAAGUCAGAUGUCGUUUUGAACAUGACGAUGAAAAUAGACGUCCCUUACAAUCAGCUGGUGAACGUGGAGGAGAGGAAGCAAGAGAGCAGAAAAACACUGAUGUACUCCAGGGGGAUGCUUGCACUGGCCACGAUAGCCACAGUGCUGCUGGCUGCCAUGGCCAUCUAUAACCUCCUCACGCC